UAAACACUAGUGUGGGUGUUGUAUGAUUAUGAUUAUGAUUGAGAAUAACUCGAGUUGGGGAUGCACGACAGAGGGACAGUCCAAUGGUUAGCUACCAGGACUUGUCGGGUUGGCUAUACAAUCGACAGAUGAUAUCAUCAGCCAUAGGGCAGGCAUUCAUCAUUUGCAUAUGUUUGAAUUGUUUGGCUUGUUUUGGACUGCUAUAUCAGAUAUGCUAUGUUACCUGAUUAUGUGCUACUUGUUCUACUUGUGCUUUAAUUGUGUAUUAGUUGCCAGUAUUGCUUGUGUUUGUACAACUGAGAGGUCCCUCAUGCUGGUGUCGGUGGACGCUGUGGG
RNAcentral lists this long non-coding RNA (336 nucleotides) under Arachis ipaensis. Its description in RNAcentral is "long non-coding RNA (AIPA_LNC002053)". The record is from RNAcentral. Lineage: Eukaryota; Viridiplantae; Streptophyta; Magnoliopsida; Fabales; Fabaceae.